Molecule: long non-coding RNA, 725 nt
Filed under: Eucalyptus grandis
Lineage: Eukaryota; Viridiplantae; Streptophyta; Magnoliopsida; Myrtales; Myrtaceae
Description: long non-coding RNA (EGRA_LNC005036)
Source: RNAcentral
AACAGAACGAAGGAUAGAACUGUUUUGCAUCACCAUUUGCAAAUACAAACCCACCGGAUGAUGAAGCACACAAACAAGAAACUUAAGCACAUCAUAUAUCUUCACGCCCGCAUAUGUUGUCCAUAGUUCUCUCUCUCCCUCCGCCUCUAUAUUUGUCGUGGCCGUCGCCAGAACCCCAAAACUUAGUGCCAAUACCAAAAUAUCCAGCCUCCUCCUUGUAGCCUAGAUCCUGCUUCAAAAUCGUUGGCGACGUAUCCGAGCCCGAAAUCGGGAUUGAACUAAGAGUAGAAGAUGAAGGAGAGUUUGAGAGGCCAAUCAGUGGUUUUUGAAGCCAGAGCCGGAAAGACGAGGAUGAGGCGGAAAGGCGAAGAAGGAGCAUGCACGACAAGUCCGAGCCACACUAAACAUAAGCUUCCACCAAAACUAGAGAUACCAGCCAGUUCGGCCAAGGAAAGGAAUAUGUUGGAACAUAGUUGAAGGCUAAUGGCUCUGCCAUACUCAUCUCUCUCCUCUGCCGAAGAAAAAAAACAAGAGAGAGAGGCUCCUCCGCCAUUAUCCCUCGCAGCCAUCGCCGGAACUCCAAAGCUCGGCACCACUACCGAAAUAUCCAACCUCCUCCUUACAGCCUAGUUCCACUUCAAAAUCUUUGGCGACGUAUCCGAGUUGGAAAUUGGGAUUGAACUAAGUGUAGAAGACAAAGGAGAGUUCGAGAGGCCGGUUGGUGG